This 232-nucleotide ribosomal RNA is filed under the name uncultured bacterium. Its description in RNAcentral is "partial 16S ribosomal RNA". It matches the Rfam family "Bacterial small subunit ribosomal RNA", at positions 524 to 755 of the family's 1533-position model. The record is from RNAcentral.
UACGUAGGGGGCUAGCGUUGUCCGGAAUCAUUGGGCGUAAAGCGCGCGUAGGCGGCCCUGUAAGUCCGUUGUGAAAGUCGAAGGCUCAACCUUCGAAAGCCGAUGGAUACUGCAGGGCUAGAGUCCGGAAGAGGCGAGUGGAAUUCCUGGUGUAGCGGUGGAAUGCGCAGAUAUCAGGAGGAACACCAGUAGCGAAGGCAGGCUCGUGGGACGGUACUGACGCUAGGACGCG